UCAAAUUCCUUUUGGUUCCCAUUAUUCUGGGAUGAGGAUGACUCUCCAUUGAGUAAGUGUAUACUACUAUUCUGAAAUGCCUGUCCAGGUAAAGAAUUUCCAUUAUUCUGGGAUGACUCUCCUUCAAGUAAGUGUAUACUACUACUCUGAAAUGCCUGUCCAGGUAAAGAAUUUCCAUUAUUCUGGGAUGACUCUCCUUCAAAUAAGUGUAUACUACUAUUCUGAAAUGCUUGUCCAGGUAAAGAAUUUCCAUUAUUCUGGGAUGACUCUCCUUCAAGUAAGUGUAUACUACUACUCUGAAAUGCCUGUCCAGGUAAAGAAUUUCCAUUAUUCUGGGAUGAUUCUCCAUCAAGUAAGUGUAUACUACUGCUCUGAAAUGCCUGUCCAGGUAAUGAAUUUCCAUUAUUCUGGGAUGACUCUCCUUCAAGUAAGUGUAUACUACUAUUCUGAAAUGCCUGUCCAGGGAAAGAAUUUCCAUUAUUCUGAAAUGCAUGUCCUUCUAAAGACUCCACAUUGUUCUGAAAUGCCUGUCCGUCAAUCAAGUUCGCAUUGUUCUGAAAUGCCUCUCCUUGAAACGAGUUUCCAUUGUUCUGGAAGGUCUCUCCUUCAAAUGAGUUUGCAUUAUUCGGAAAUGCUAGUUCUCCCCAGUCAAAAAUAUAUUCACAUGCUUGUUCAAAAAAAUUUCCAUUUCCCUUAUCCUGAAUUGCUUCCUUUUUAGGCUUGUUUCUGAUUUUUUGACAUUCAUCAUAAUAUGCCUGUUUUUCAAAAUAAAAAUCAAAAUCAUAUCAGUUCUUCAAACAUGUCUAAAUCACAUUAGUAAUACACUAAUUAACAUAUAAUAAUGAUCAACGGUAUAAAGUUUUGGUAGCAUGCAAUCUAGGACAUCUAAUUUGCAGUGUUGGUAAAUUGUUGGUUAUUGUCUAUGCACUUAUUAAGGAAAUUUGGUGUAUGCGUAAUGAUCUUAGUCUUGACAAAAAAUGUUUUACUUCAUUUAUGCAGGCCAGAGGAACAUAUUGACUGCGUUUUUGACUUGUCCGUUCUUCCAACGAAUCUUCCUUUUCAGGUUCUUCCAAUAACAUUCCAUUUUUCUGAUUUUUUAGUUCUUCAAUCAAAUUUCCACUAUGCUGAACUGACUCCUCUUCAAAUGAGUUUACACCGUUAUCAUAUGCCUGCUCAUCAUAUAUUUCACUAUUCUCACUUGCAUGUACCUCGUUUAAGCUUCCAUUAUUCUGAAAUCCGUAUUCAUCCUGUCUGUUCGCUUCAAACAACGGCUCAAAUUCCUUUUGGUUCCCAUUAUUCUGGGAUGAGGAUGACUCUCCAUUGAGUAAGUGUAUACUACUAUUCUGAAAUGCCUGUCCAGGUAAAGAAUUUCCAUUAUUCUGGGAUGACUCUCCUUCAAGUAAGUGUAUACUACUACUCUGAAAUGCCUGUCCAGGUAAAGAAUUUCCAUUA
Molecule: long non-coding RNA, 1452 nt
Filed under: Sorghum bicolor (sorghum)
Lineage: Eukaryota; Viridiplantae; Streptophyta; Magnoliopsida; Poales; Poaceae
Description: long non-coding RNA (SBIC_LNC009609)
Source: RNAcentral